GACGAACGCUGGCGGCGUGCUUAACACAUGCAAGUCGAGCGGUAAGGCCCUUUCGGGGGUACACGAGCGGCGAACGGGUGAGUAACACGUGGGUGACCUGCCCUCAGCUCUGGGAUAAGCCUGGGAAACCGGGUCUAAUACUGGAUAUGACUCCAUGACGCAUGUUGUGGGGUGGAAAGCCUUGUGCGGCUGAGGAUGGGCCCGCGGCCUAUCAGCUUGUUGGGGGGUGAUGGCCUACCAAGGCGACGACGGGUAGCCGGCCUGAGAGGGCGACCGGCCACACUGGGACUGAGACACGGCCCAGACUCCUACGGGAGGCAGCAGUGGGGAAUCUUGCGCAAUGGGCGAAAGCCUGACGCAGCGACGCCGCGUGAGGGAUGACGGCCUGGUGU
RNAcentral lists this ribosomal RNA (392 nucleotides) under uncultured bacterium. RNAcentral's name for it is "bacterial SSU rRNA". It matches the Rfam family "Bacterial small subunit ribosomal RNA", at positions 28 to 422 of the family's 1533-position model. The record is from RNAcentral.